AACGAACGCUGGCGGCAUGCCUAACACAUGCAAGUCGAACGAGGCCUUCGGGUCUAGUGGCGCACGGGUGCGUAACGCGUGGGAACCUGCCCUUAGGUUCGGAAUAACUCCCCGAAAGGGGUGCUAAUACCGGAUAAUGUCUUCGGACCAAAGAUUUAUCGCCUUUGGAUGGGCCCGCGUUGGAUUAGCUAGUUGGUAGGGUAAAAGCCUACCAAGGCGACGAUCCAUAGCUGGUCUGAGAGGAUGAUCAGCCACACUGGGACUGAGACUCGGCCCAGACUCCUACGGGAGGCAGCAGUGGGGAAUAUUGGACAAUGGGCGAAAGCCUGAUCCAGCAAUGCCGCGUGAGUGAUGAAGGCCUUAGGGUUGUAAAGCUCUUUUACCCGGGAUGAUAAUGACAGUACCGGGAGAAUAAGCUCCGGCUAACUCCGUG
This 433-nucleotide ribosomal RNA is filed under the name uncultured bacterium. Its description in RNAcentral is "partial 16S ribosomal RNA". It matches the Rfam family "Bacterial small subunit ribosomal RNA", at positions 29 to 507 of the family's 1533-position model. The record is from RNAcentral.